AAAGUCGUAACAAGGUCUCCGUAGGUGAACCUGCGGAGGGAUCAUUAACACAGAAAAAGGGCUGGAGCACCCGCAAGGGGAGACUAGCCGCCUUUUCUUAUCUCACCCAUCUCACGUGAACUAUGAUGCCCUAACUCUGCUAGCAGUGGCGGCGUGACUGCCGCUUGCUGCUGCUUUUUUUGCUAUUUUUUGCAAAACCUUUUCCAACACCAACACCAACUGUUUUCUUUUUGUUUAUUUUUUGUUGGUUCUCACACUAGUGUGAACUAAUAAGAAAUAAAUGAUAAAAAACUAACGUAAAAAAGUACAACUCUUAGCAACGGAUAUCUUGGUUCUC
RNAcentral lists this unclassified non-coding RNA (337 nucleotides) under Ascomycota sp. RNAcentral's name for it is "partial contains small subunit ribosomal RNA, internal transcribed spacer 1, and 5.8S ribosomal RNA". The stretch from base 1 to 47 matches the Rfam family "Eukaryotic small subunit ribosomal RNA", at positions 1785 to 1831 of the family's 1831-position model. The record is from RNAcentral. Lineage: Eukaryota; Fungi; Ascomycota.